This 500-nucleotide ribosomal RNA is filed under the name uncultured Gammaproteobacteria bacterium. RNAcentral's name for it is "bacterial SSU rRNA". It matches the Rfam family "Bacterial small subunit ribosomal RNA", at positions 1003 to 1503 of the family's 1533-position model. Lineage: Bacteria; Pseudomonadati; Pseudomonadota; Gammaproteobacteria. The record is from RNAcentral.
GAGAUGAGAAUGUGCCUUCGGGAACCGUGAGACAGGUGCUGCAUGGCUGUCGUCAGCUCGUGUUGUGAAAUGUUGGGUUAAGUCCCGCAACGAGCGCAACCCUUAUCCUUUGUUGCCAGCGGUCCGGCCGGGAACUCAAAGGAGACUGCCAGUGAUAAACUGGAGGAAGGUGGGGAUGACGUCAAGUCAUCAUGGCCCUUACGACCAGGGCUACACACGUGCUACAAUGGCGCAUACAAAGAGAAGCGACCUCGCGAGAGCAAGCGGACCUCAUAAAGUGCGUCGUAGUCCGGAUUGGAGUCUGCAACUCGACUCCAUGAAGUCGGAAUCGCUAGUAAUCGUGGAUCAGAAUGCCACGGUGAAUACGUUCCCGGGCCUUGUACACACCGCCCGUCACACCAUGGGAGUGGGUUGCAAAAGAAGAAGGUAGCUUAACCUUCGGGAGGGCGCUUACCACUUUGUGAUUCAUGACUGGGGUGAAGUCGUAACAAGGUAACCGU